This is a long non-coding RNA of Drosophila pseudoobscura, 428 nucleotides long. RefSeq lists it as uncharacterized. The transcript is spliced from 2 exons. The record is from RefSeq and is a predicted model, not a curated record. Lineage: Eukaryota; Metazoa; Arthropoda; Insecta; Diptera; Drosophilidae.
GGUUGACGUUCCGACUAGAAGAUGCCCAUCGUUCGGAUGGGAUGAAUGUUUUGUUAGAUGCUAUCACAUUUUCAGGAGCGUAAGGAAAGCGUGUCAAUAUUUGAAAACAAAGUUAAGUACGCACACAAAAUGUGACUGAUCUUUGAGUCCACCUAUGGAUCCAGGUGUUCAGGAUUUCUAUGCCUGUUACAGACAAUAUACCCUAUUGUUCUCAACGUUUACCAGUAUGCCACCGGCAGCAGUCCCAGCGCCAGAUCAAACCAAGGCAAACCCCACCCAGGAGAGAGCGAGAGCGAGAGAGAGAGGCCGCCGCCCAGCCGCAAAUACAAUCUGAACAAAUCAAUAAAAGGCCGCACAAAAAUGACAAAACGCGAGCAGGUCCCAAAGAAGAGACGCGCAGAACAAACACAAAAACAAAAACAAAAAAA